UACGUAGGGGGCAAGCGUUGUCCGGAUUUAUUGGGCGUAAAGAGCGUGUAGGCGGCCAUACAGGUCAGCUGUGAAAACUCGAGGCUCAACCUCGAGACGUCGGUUGAAACCGUAUGGCUAGAGUCCGGAAGAGGAGAGUGGAAUUCCCGGUGUAGCGGUGAAAUGCGCAGAUAUCGGGAAGAACACCUAUGGCGAAGGCAGCUCUCUGGGACGGUACUGACGCUGAGACGCGAAGGUCAGGGGAGCAAACGGG
RNAcentral lists this ribosomal RNA (253 nucleotides) under uncultured bacterium. RNAcentral describes it as "partial 16S ribosomal RNA". It matches the Rfam family "Bacterial small subunit ribosomal RNA", at positions 524 to 776 of the family's 1533-position model. The record is from RNAcentral.